ACCUGGUGAAUCCUGCCAGUAU
This 22-nucleotide ribosomal RNA is filed under the name Festuca graniticola. Its description in RNAcentral is "partial 18S ribosomal RNA". The record is from RNAcentral. Lineage: Eukaryota; Viridiplantae; Streptophyta; Magnoliopsida; Poales; Poaceae.